CCUACGGGGGGCAGCAGUGGGGACUAUUGGACAAUGGGGGGAACCCUGAUCCAGCCAUGCCGCGUGUGUGAAGAAGGCCCUCGGGUUGUAAAGCACUUUCAGUGAGGAAGAACGCCUGGUGGUUAAUACCCAUCCGGAAAGACAUCACUCACAGAAGAAGCACCGGCUAACUCCGGCCAGCAGCCGCGGUAAUACGGAGGGUGCGAGCGUUAAUCGGAAUUACUGGGCGUAAAGCGCGCGUAGGUGGCUUGAUAAGCCGGUUGUGAAAGCCCCGGGCUCAACCUGGGAACGGCAUCCGGAACUGGCAAGCUAGAGUGUAGGAGAGGAAGGUAGAAUUCCCGGUGUAGCGGUGAAAUGCGUAGAGAUCGGGAGGAAUACCAGUGGCGAAGGCGGCCUUCUGGACUGACACUGACACUGAGGUGCGAAAGCGUGGGUAGCAAACAGGAUUAGAUACCCCGGUAGUC
Molecule: ribosomal RNA, 464 nt
Filed under: Vreelandella stevensii
Lineage: Bacteria; Pseudomonadati; Pseudomonadota; Gammaproteobacteria; Oceanospirillales; Halomonadaceae
Description: partial 16S ribosomal RNA
Rfam family: Bacterial small subunit ribosomal RNA
Source: RNAcentral